Molecule: transfer RNA, 63 nt
Filed under: Ptyas korros
Lineage: Eukaryota; Metazoa; Chordata; Lepidosauria; Squamata; Colubridae
Description: tRNA-Thr
Rfam family: tRNA
About the family: Transfer RNA (tRNA) molecules are approximately 80 nucleotides in length. Their secondary structure includes four short double-helical elements and three loops (D, anti-codon, and T loops). Further hydrogen bonds mediate the characteristic L-shaped molecular structure. tRNAs have two regions of fundamental functional importance: the anti-codon, which is responsible for specific mRNA codon recognition, and the 3' end, to which the tRNAs corresponding amino acid is attached (by aminoacyl-tRNA synthetases). tRNAs cope with the degeneracy of the genetic code in two manners: having more than one tRNA (with a specific anti-codon) for a particular amino acid; and 'wobble' base-pairing, i.e. permitting non-standard base-pairing at the 3rd anti-codon position.
Source: RNAcentral
GCUCCAGUAGCUUAAAUUUAAAGCAUUGUUCUUGUAAACCAAAGUUGGUAAUACCCUAGAGCA